UGGUCACUUUAGUCUAGCCAAGCAGACACACAAAAUUAACCAUCACAGAGUGCAUCUAUAUACGGCUCAAAAGGGUUUUUUUUUUUUUUUUUUUGACUGCACAUAGUAUGCAUUUGUGAGCCUCCUGAAACACACGUGGGAAAAGAUAUUUUCACCUCUCCAGGAGAGGGAACUAGAGAUGUUCUGCAACUCUGCAAGCAAGUAAACCAGCCCAAGACCCAAGACAGCUGAGGCAUAGGGGAGACCAACUGGGCUGGAGCUAAAGAAUCAAAGCAAAUGAACACAGAGAAACCUGAUUCAGUGCCCUGACAUGGAACUAGCUAGAAGAGUUGUGGAUUGAAUGACAAACUAUGAUUCCUGCUACUGCCAAUCGGAAGAAGGCUAAAAAUGAGCUUCUAUGACAAAGCAGAUGGAGAGCCACUGGAGUCAUAGAAGUGGAGCCGGGACUCCAGACUUCAAGAGUUGAAGAGAACGUCAGCCUUCAAGAGUCGUCGUGUUCCUCUACUUUACCUACAACACCUGCAACAAUGAACGUGAAGACCUGUGGCGAACCCUGCUCUGAUUACUUCAGGGGCCCUGAGUAGGAAGCAAUAUCUUUGCUGGUGAUUUGCCAUUAAUGCCCAGGCCCUAGUAAG
RNAcentral lists this long non-coding RNA (635 nucleotides) under Canis lupus familiaris (dog). RNAcentral's name for it is "lncRNA (ENSCAFG00040005223.1)". Lineage: Eukaryota; Metazoa; Chordata; Mammalia; Carnivora; Canidae. The record is from RNAcentral.